GCAUGUCUCUGUGGCGCAAUCGGUUA
Molecule: non-coding RNA, 26 nt
Filed under: Cricetulus griseus (Chinese hamster)
Lineage: Eukaryota; Metazoa; Chordata; Mammalia; Rodentia; Cricetidae
Source: RNAcentral